This is a long non-coding RNA of Strigops habroptila (Kakapo), 339 nucleotides long. RefSeq lists it as uncharacterized. The transcript has 3 exons. The record is from RefSeq and is a predicted model, not a curated record. Lineage: Eukaryota; Metazoa; Chordata; Aves; Psittaciformes; Psittacidae.
GCUUCUUUCUGCCUGCAGUCCUCCCAGCAUCACGGCUACUAGGAGCAUCGCAGCAGCAUACCAGAGUGACGGGGCCAUGCGUUUGCUGGGGGACUUACUCCAUUUGACCAACUCUACCAUGUCCUCAGGACUCUGAACACCUCAAAGGAGACUUUUCUACAUGAGACAAUGUUAUCCAUGUGAAGACAUAGUGUGUCUGUUGAAGUGCCUGAAGGCUCUCCAGGCAUCUAGGCAUGUUCACUUGGGAAGUGUUGGGAUUUGGGACCAAGGUAUGGAAAACGAGGGCGUGCACUGCUGGAGCUGGUAUCAAGGAAAUUUAUUCCUGCAGGACUUCUCAAG